GCGAACUUGGCGGAAUGGUAGACGCAGGAGACUUAAAAUCUCCAGCCCGUACGGGCGUGCGGGUUCGAGUCCCGCAGUUCGCACCA
RNAcentral lists this transfer RNA (86 nucleotides) under Acetobacter sp. RNAcentral describes it as "tRNA-Leu". It matches the Rfam family "tRNA". From Rfam's summary of the family: Transfer RNA (tRNA) molecules are approximately 80 nucleotides in length. Their secondary structure includes four short double-helical elements and three loops (D, anti-codon, and T loops). Further hydrogen bonds mediate the characteristic L-shaped molecular structure. tRNAs have two regions of fundamental functional importance: the anti-codon, which is responsible for specific mRNA codon recognition, and the 3' end, to which the tRNAs corresponding amino acid is attached (by aminoacyl-tRNA synthetases). tRNAs cope with the degeneracy of the genetic code in two manners: having more than one tRNA (with a specific anti-codon) for a particular amino acid; and 'wobble' base-pairing, i.e. permitting non-standard base-pairing at the 3rd anti-codon position. Lineage: Bacteria; Pseudomonadati; Pseudomonadota; Alphaproteobacteria; Acetobacterales; Acetobacteraceae. The record is from RNAcentral. RNAcentral also lists the same sequence under 1 other name.